This 618-nucleotide long non-coding RNA is filed under the name Olea europaea subsp. europaea. The record is from RNAcentral. Lineage: Eukaryota; Viridiplantae; Streptophyta; Magnoliopsida; Lamiales; Oleaceae.
CUGGCUCAAUCAAAUAUCAUCCUUUCUUUUAUUGAAGAAGAAGAAGAAAAUAAAUCAUCGACAACACAUCAAAAUAUGUUUCAAUAAUUUCCCUUCUAUCUUAAGCAAAAAAAAUUGGGAGUUUGACCCCCACAUCAUCACACCAUAUUCACAGGCUCUGCUUCACUAUCUCUUUCUUCCACAAGUGGAGCUAACUCCCCUGCACCCUACCCUUCAUUCAUGAACACAUCAUCUCUUUUGCUCAACAUUGCAUGAAGUAUAACAAUAGGCAUAGUCGCAGAAAGAGUCACGAAUAGAUUAAUGAAAGCACAAGUAAAGAUCAAUUCGAUUGAUGUGAUCAUAAACAGCAAAAACGGCACAAUUCGCUUGUCAAUGAUCUUAUGAAGCGCAACAGAAUUGGGCAAAGCACGCAGUAAAAGAAAGUAUAAAAAGGUCACUUCUGUCAUGGCUACUAGAAGGAUCAAUGAAACCUUGCGCCGUGGGAUAAGGGUUAUGAAGAGAACAGUCCAUACAAAUAUUGCAUAGUAUAAACUGAAUUUCUCAAAGUUCUUGAUGAUUCUAACUGCUGCUGAUUCUGGGUAGAAGGGAUAUCAAAAGUGUAAGUAUUAUGCUCUAGGU